RNAcentral lists this transfer RNA (71 nucleotides) under Enterococcus hulanensis. RNAcentral describes it as "tRNA-Cys". It matches the Rfam family "tRNA". From Rfam's summary of the family: Transfer RNA (tRNA) molecules are approximately 80 nucleotides in length. Their secondary structure includes four short double-helical elements and three loops (D, anti-codon, and T loops). Lineage: Bacteria; Bacillati; Bacillota; Bacilli; Lactobacillales; Enterococcaceae. The record is from RNAcentral.
GCGAGAAUAGCCAAGAGGAAAGGCAGAGGUCUGCAAAACCUUAAUCGCGGGUUCGAAUCCCGUUUCUUGCU